UUAAAAAGCUCGUAGUUGAAUUUCAGCAAUUGUCAAAAUGUCAUUUUGUACUAUUUGACGUUGCUUAUUUUAUUACUUUGAGAAAAUUAGAGUGUUUCAAGCAGGCUUUUGUCUUGAAUACUUGAGCAUGGAAUAAUAGAGUAGGACCUUGGUUCUAUUUUGUUGGUUUUGUUACCUUGGUAAUGGUUAAUAGGAACGGUUGGGGGCAUUCGUAUUUAACUGUCAGAGGUGAAAUUCUUAGAUUUGUUAAAGACGAACUACUGCGAAAGCAUUUGCCAAGGACGUUUCCAUUAAUCAAGAACGAAAGUUAGGGGAUCGAAGACGAUCAGAUACCGUCGUAGUCCUAACCAUAAACUAUGCCGACUAGGGAUUGGAGGUCGUCAUUUUUCCGACUC
RNAcentral lists this ribosomal RNA (395 nucleotides) under Babesia sp. RNAcentral's name for it is "SSU rRNA". It matches the Rfam family "Eukaryotic small subunit ribosomal RNA", at positions 619 to 1077 of the family's 1831-position model. Lineage: Eukaryota; Apicomplexa; Aconoidasida; Piroplasmida; Babesiidae. The record is from RNAcentral.